Molecule: ribosomal RNA, 71 nt
Filed under: Neisseria sp. RH3002v2f
Lineage: Bacteria; Pseudomonadati; Pseudomonadota; Betaproteobacteria; Neisseriales; Neisseriaceae
Description: partial 16S ribosomal RNA
Rfam family: Bacterial small subunit ribosomal RNA
Source: RNAcentral
AGAGAUUGAACAUAAGAGUUUGAUCCUGGCUCAGAUUGAACGCUGGCGGCAUGCUUUACACAUGCAAGUCG